GGUUCCGUAGUGUAGUGGUUAUCAUGUUUGCUUCACACGCGGAGGGAGUACGGUUCGAUCCUGGACGGAACCG
Non-coding RNA from Trichonephila clavipes, 73 nucleotides. NCBI's taxonomy places the organism in Eukaryota, Metazoa, Arthropoda, Arachnida, Araneae, Nephilidae. The record is from the annotation of a GenBank genome assembly.